UACCUGCAGCUCGAGUGGUAACCGCUAUUAUUGGGCCUAAAGCGUCCGUAGCCGGUUUGGUAAAUAUCUGGGUAAAUCGUGAGGCUUAACUUCACGAAUUUCGGAUAGACUGCCAGACUUGGGAUCGGGGGGAGGUCAGAGGUACUCCAGGGGUAGCGGUGAAAUGUUGUAAUCCUUGGAGGACCACCGGUAGCGAAGGCGUCUGACUAGAACGAGUCCGACGGUGAGGGACGAAGCCCUGGGGCGCAAACCGGAUUAGAUACCCGGGUAGUCCAGGGUGUAAACGAUGUGGGCUUUGUAUUGGAGGUCCCACGUGGGCGUCCAGUGCAGAAGAGAAGUUGUUAAGCCCACCGCCUGGGAAGUACGGUCGCAAGGCUGAAACUUAAAGGAAUUGGCGGGGGAGCACAGCAACGGGAGGAGCGUGCGGUUU
This 430-nucleotide ribosomal RNA is filed under the name uncultured archaeon. RNAcentral describes it as "bacterial SSU rRNA". It matches the Rfam family "Archaeal small subunit ribosomal RNA", at positions 474 to 903 of the family's 1478-position model. The record is from RNAcentral.